CAGUCGCCACGGGAAUACAGAGGAUGCAAGCGUUAUCCGGAAUAAUUGGGCGUAAAGCGUCUGUAGGUGGUUUACCAAGUCUGUUGUUAAAAAUCAGGGCUCAACCCUGAUCCGGCAACAGAAACUAGUAGACUUGAGUACGGUAGGGGCAGAGGGAAUUCUCGGUGUAGUGGUGAAAUACGUAGAUAUCGAGAAGAACACCAAUAGCGAAAGCACUCUGCUGGGCCGAAACUGACAUUGAGAGACGAAAGCUAGGGGAGCAAAAGGGAUUAGAUACCCCCGUAGUCCCUGUCUCUUAUAC
RNAcentral lists this ribosomal RNA (301 nucleotides) under uncultured bacterium. RNAcentral describes it as "partial 16S ribosomal RNA". It matches the Rfam family "Bacterial small subunit ribosomal RNA", at positions 509 to 807 of the family's 1533-position model. The record is from RNAcentral.